GGGGGACUUCACACGGAGGAAUGAGGGGUGGGAUGCAGUGACAUCACAAGGGUCCCAUUAUGACCCCUCCUCCAUCAGCUAAGGGGGGAUGGGCUGAGCCUGAACAGAGGGAGAGGGGAGUAAAUAAGGGGCUGUUGCCAGAGCCUGAGCCCACCAGAGAAAGUCUGUGUGCAGAGGGAGGGCCUCAGGUCCUGCUGCUCCUUCAUCUUGACCCCUUCACACCCUCCUCUAACAGGGACCUCGACCUCCCUUCUCCACUCUCCUGGAUCCUGCUCAGUGUGGUGCAGGCCUUCUCUGGGGCCCUGGAGUUCCCACUGACCUUCAGCCCCGCCAGUUGCAUCUGCUGUUCCCACUGAAGACUCUCAUGCUAGUCAGUUCCUGCCUGGGGUCACCAGACUGCUUCGAAGUCAGGAAGAACAUGGUGGGGACGGUGACUUGAGUUUCCUGGACCACAGUGCAG
Molecule: long non-coding RNA, 460 nt
Filed under: Homo sapiens (human)
Lineage: Eukaryota; Metazoa; Chordata; Mammalia; Primates; Hominidae
Description: non-protein coding lnc-C20orf196-3:1
Source: RNAcentral